Molecule: ribosomal RNA, 467 nt
Filed under: uncultured bacterium
Lineage: Bacteria
Description: partial 16S ribosomal RNA
Rfam family: Bacterial small subunit ribosomal RNA
Source: RNAcentral
GAUGAACGCUGGCGGCGUGCUUAACACAUGCAAGUCGAACGGAAAGGCCCAAGCUUGCUUGGGUACUCGAGUGGCGAACGGGUGAGUAACACGUGGGUGAUCUGCCCUGCACUUCGGGAUAAGCCUGGGAAACUGGGUCUAAUACAGGAUAGGACCACUUCUUGGACGUUGUGGUGGAAAGUUUUUUCGGUGUGGGAUGAGCUCGAGGCCUAUCAGCUUGUUGGUGGGGUAAUGGCAUACCAAGGCGUCGACGGGUAGCCGGCCUGUGAGGGUGUACGGCCACCUUGGGACUGAGAUACGGCCCAGACUCCUACGGGUGGCAGCAGUGGGGAAUAUUGCACAAUGGGCGCAAGCCUGAUGCAGCGACGCCGCGUGGGGGAUGACGCCCUUCGGGUUGUAAACUCCUUUCGCUAGGGACGAAGCGUUUUGUGACGGUACCUGGAGAAGAAGCACCGGCUAACUACGUG